Molecule: small RNA, 1752 nt
Filed under: Drosophila pseudoobscura pseudoobscura
Lineage: Eukaryota; Metazoa; Arthropoda; Insecta; Diptera; Drosophilidae
Description: GA31824
Source: RNAcentral
CACAAAUAUUAGCAAAAGUGGGAGGCACUUUUCGUGGCGGAGGCGGAGCCAUUUUGCAAUUUAAAUUUUCAUGAACAAGCUCCAGCGCCAUUUGUCGCUGUCGUUCUGGUUGUCCUCAAUGUCUGGGUGCCCAUCCCCAGCGCGCUUUUCCCUUAACAGUUUUCAAUUUUCCCGCUUACUUGUAAGCGCAGCUGCCAGAGAUACUUCCGAAGGAUACCCCGCACUCCACUCCACCCCGGCGAAGAGCUUAUGUUUCUUCAGAGGAUGUGGAUUCCCAUUCCCAAGGUAAAUGUGCGGAGAAAGUGGGCUUCCCAGGGAAAAGGAUUUGAGAAAGGGCGAUAUAUCUUUCGGAGUGGGUUAGCGGUGGGCUUUUGCAGUCUUCAAUGCUCCAAAAAUCGAAUAAACCACGCGACUGAUGCAUCUGAUUCAAUUACAAGGGCAGCGCCCGAAAUUAGUAGACAUUAAUAUAACAACGGAACGCGCGCUGACCUAUUAACCCAGCGCGCCCAACCCCAACCCCAUGCCACUCAUGACGCAUCAUUAGAGGGAAAUGGCAACGAAAUUAAAGGAAAUUACCGCAAGGAAGGGUCCAAGGAGAAGAUGUGGCAAAUGAGGCACACAUUUAUUUGAAUGUAAUCCAUUAUGAAAUCGCAUAAUGAAGAGAUUAGCACACGCAUUCGCACAGCCCAGACCGCAAUUAAUAAAUGACCCGACAAAAGGACAAGCCAAAGAGAAAGGAAAGGAAAGGACCUCCUCUGUCUGCCAUUGCGUGCCAAAGAAAUCCAAUAAAUUAGGCAAACGGUAAUCAUUAGUAUUAGUUUAGGCACACACAUAUGACACUCGCGGAUAAAUCAGAGGAAAAGUUCUACGAAGGACUUUAAGAAUUAAUACGCGGUCGAUUUUUUGGGUAGAAGUAAACGUGCCGCGACCUCAGGAUAAUCCAAGUCUCACUGGAAAAGAGAGGGAGAGAGGGCGGGAAAAUUAUGUCGAGCAUUAUAAAGAUAAUGAAUUGAAGGACCCUCAUAAAUUUCACGUUAAACAAUAACUCAACAGCAUUAUUAUUUCGAUGAAGCAGCUGCUGGCCGCUUAUUAACCCAUUGAUGACCCCCAGUCCCUCCCCCUUGUCUUUGUAUAGGGACUCUUUUUUGGGAACAAUGUGCCCGACUUUGCACUUCAUUUAACUUUUCGACUUGCCGGGCCCCAAGGACGUUUGGCAGAUGCGAGCGAUUCUCUGGCUCGCUCUCUCAUCGAUAAUUAACCGCAAAAACUUGGCACGCAACGGGUCAGAGUGAGAGAGAGAGAGUGGUGGGGGGAGGGGGUCAAAAGGGGGUCACUCUGUCUGAGCCUAAAGUAUAAAGGGGUUAAUGGUAUGGCACAAAGUUUAAUUAAAAAUACGUGCUGUGGCCUUUUGGUGCUUGCAGGAUGCUGCCUCGGCCUUUUGUUUGCUUAAAGUGAAACUCGCUGCGAAAUCCCGGGGCCAAAGUUGAAAGGAAAAUUAUAAGCGGCUUUUCCGAGAAGGUUUUGAUUAGUUGAUUGGACCAUAAAGAACAGGAAAAAAUGGAAAGAAAAGACCAGAAAAGAAAGGGUAAAUGAUUAUUUAUAGAUAGGCGGGGAUUAUAGAAAAUAGAAGGUAAACAAUGAGAAGCGGCAUAAGUGCAACAGUUUUGGGAGGCACCAAGAAGAAAGAAAUGAAUACCUUUACUGAUUGAGACUUAAUCAGAGAUACUAGUAAUGGCAUACAUUUUGGGAAAA